AUUGAACGCUUGCUUCCGGCCUCCCCCCUGCACGUCGAGCGGAUGAAGGGAGCUUGCUCCUGGAUUCAGCGGCGGACGGGUGAGUAAUGCCUAGGAAUCUGCCUGGUAGUGGGGGAUAACGUCCGGAAACGGGCGCUAAUACCGCAUACGUCCUGAGGGAGAAAGUGGGGGAUCUUCGGACCUCACGCUAUCAGAUGAGCCUAGGUCGGAUUAGCUAGUUGGUGGGGUAAAGGCCUACCAAGGCGACGAUCCGUAACUGGUCUGAGAGGAUGAUCAGUCACACUGGAACUGAGACACGGUCCAGACUCCUACGGGAGGCAGCAGUGGGGAAUAUUGGACAAUGGGCGAAAGCCUGAUCCAGCCAUGCCGCGUGUGUGAAGAAGGUCUUCGGAUUGUAAAGCACUUUAAGUUGGGAGGAAGGGCAGUAAGUUAAUACCUUGCUGUUUUGACGUUACCAACAGAAUAAGCACCGGCUAACUUCGUG
RNAcentral lists this ribosomal RNA (484 nucleotides) under uncultured bacterium. RNAcentral describes it as "partial 16S ribosomal RNA". It matches the Rfam family "Bacterial small subunit ribosomal RNA", at positions 30 to 507 of the family's 1533-position model. The record is from RNAcentral.